UACGAAGGGGGCUAGCGUUGCUCGGAAUUACUGGGCGUAAAGCGCACGUAGGCGGUCUUUUAAGUCGGGGGUGAAAUCCUGGAGCUCAACUCCAGAACUGCCUUCGAUACUGGAAGACUUGAGUCCGGGAGAGGUGAGUGGAACUGCGAGUGUAGAGGUGAAAUUCGUAGAUAUUCGGAAGAACACCAGUGGCGAAGGCGGCUCACUGGCUCGAUACUGACGCUGAGGUGCGAAAGCGUGGGGAGCAAACAGG
RNAcentral lists this ribosomal RNA (253 nucleotides) under uncultured bacterium. RNAcentral's name for it is "partial 16S ribosomal RNA". It matches the Rfam family "Bacterial small subunit ribosomal RNA", at positions 524 to 776 of the family's 1533-position model. The record is from RNAcentral.